AAGGCCCCUUCGGGGGUGCUCGAGUGGCGAACGGGUGAGUAACACGUGGGUGAUCUGCCUCGUACUCUGGGAUAAGCCUGGGAAACUGGGUCUAAUACUGGAUAGGACCGCACUUUAGUGUGUGUGGUGGAAAGUUUUUUCGGUACGAGAUGAGCCCGCGGCCUAUCAGCUUGUUGGUGGGGUAAUGGCCUACCAAGGCGUCGACGGGUAGCCGGCCUGAGAGGGUGGACGGCCACAUUGGGACUGAGAUACGGCCCAGACUCCUACGGGAGGCAGCAGUGGGGAAUAUUGCACAAUGGGCGCAAGCCUGAUGCAGCGACGCCGCGUGAGGGAUGACGGCCUUCGGGUUGUAAACCUCUUUCGACAGGGACGAAGCUUUUUGUGACGGUACCUGUAUAAGAAGCACCGGCUAACUACGUGCCAGCAGCCGCGGUAAUACGUAGGGUGCGAGCGUUGUCCGGAAUUACUGGGCGUAAAGAGCUCGUAGGUGGUUUGUCGCGUCGUCUGUGAAAUUCCGGGGCUUAACUCCGGGCGUGCAGGCGAUACGGGCAUAACUUGAGUGCUGUAGGGGAGACUGGAAUUCCUGGUGUAGCGGUGGAAUGCGCAGAUAUCAGGAGGAACACCGAUGGCGAAGGCAGGUCUCUGGGCAGUAACUGACGCUGAGGAGCGAAAGCAUGGGGAGCGAACAGGAUUAGAUACCCUGGUAGUCCAUGCCGUAAACGGUGGGCGCUAGGUGUGAGGGUCUUCCACGACUUUCGUGCCGUAGCUAACGCAUUAAGCG
RNAcentral lists this ribosomal RNA (781 nucleotides) under Corynebacterium pseudotuberculosis. RNAcentral's name for it is "bacterial SSU rRNA". It matches the Rfam family "Bacterial small subunit ribosomal RNA", at positions 70 to 866 of the family's 1533-position model. Lineage: Bacteria; Bacillati; Actinomycetota; Actinomycetes; Mycobacteriales; Corynebacteriaceae. The record is from RNAcentral.